This 492-nucleotide ribosomal RNA is filed under the name uncultured bacterium. RNAcentral's name for it is "partial 16S ribosomal RNA". It matches the Rfam family "Bacterial small subunit ribosomal RNA", at positions 29 to 507 of the family's 1533-position model. The record is from RNAcentral.
AGUGAACGCUGGCGGUAGGCCUAACACAUGCGAGUCGAACGGCAGCACAGUAAGAGCUUGCUCUUACGGGUGGCGAGUGGCGGACGGGUGAGGAAUACAUCGGAAUCUACUUUUUCGUGGGGGAUAACGUAGGGAAACUUACGCUAAUACCGCAUACGACCUACGGGUGAAAGCAGGGGAUCUUCGGACCUUGCGCGAUUGAAUGAGCCGAUGUCGGAUUAGCUAGUUGGCGGGGUAAAGGCCCACCAAGGCGACGAUCCGUAGCUGGUCUGAGAGGAUGAUCAGCCACACUGGAACUGAGACACGGUCCAGACUCCUACGGGAGGCAGCAGUGGGGAAUAUUGGACAAUGGGCGCAAGCCUGAUCCAGCCAUACCGCGUGGGUGAAGAAGGCCUCCGGGUUGUAAAGCCCUUUUGUUGGGAAAGAAAAGCAGCAGGUUAAUACCCCGCUGUUCUGACGGUACCCAAAGAAUAAGCACCGGCUAACUUCGUG